This 112-nucleotide Y RNA is filed under the name Saimiri boliviensis boliviensis (Bolivian squirrel monkey). RNAcentral describes it as "Y RNA (ENSSBOG00000006120.1)". It matches the Rfam family "Y RNA". Rfam says of the family: Y RNAs are components of the Ro ribonucleoprotein particle (Ro RNP), in association with Ro60 and La proteins. The Y RNAs and Ro60 and La proteins are well conserved, but the function of the Ro RNP is not known. The record is from Rfam by way of RNAcentral. Lineage: Eukaryota; Metazoa; Chordata; Mammalia; Primates; Cebidae.
GGCAGUCCAAAGGUAGUGAGUUAUCUCAAUUGAUUGUUCACAGUCAGUUACAGAUUGAACUCUUUGUUCUACUCUUUCCCCACUUCUCACUACUGCACUUGACUAGUCUUUA